GAUGAACGCUGACAGAAUGCUUAACACAUGCAAGUCAACUUGAAUUUGGGUUUUUAACUUAGAUUUGGGUGGCGGACGGGUGAGUAACGCGUAAAGAACUUGCCUCACAGCUAGGGACAACAUUUAGAAAUGAAUGCUAAUACCUGAUAUUAUGAUUUUAAGGCAUCUUAGAAUUAUGAAAGCUAUAAGCACUGUGAGAGAGCUUUGCGUCCCAUUAGCUAGUUGGAGAGGUAACAGCUCACCAAGGCGAUGAUGGGUAGCCGGCCUGAGAGGGUGAACGGCCACAAGGGGACUGAGACACGGCCCUUACUCCUACGGGAGGCAGCAGUGGGGAAUAUUGGACAAUGGACCGAGAGUCUGAUCCAGCAAUUCUGUGUGCACGAUGAAGUUUUUCGGAAUGUAAAGUGCUUUCAGUUGGGAAGAAAAAAAUGACGGUACCAACAGAAGAAGUGACGGCUAAAUACGUGCCAGCAGCCGCGGUAAUACGUAUGUCACGAGCGUUAUCCGGAUUUAUUGGGCGUAAAGCGCGUCUAGGUGGUUAUGUAAGUCUGAUGUGAAAAUGCAGGGCUCAACUCUGUAUUGCGUUGGAAACUGUGUAACUAGAGUACUGGAGAGGUAAGCGGAACUACAAGUGUAGAGGUGAAAUUCGUAGAUAUUUGUAGGAAUGCCGAUGGGGAAGCCAGCUUACUGGACAGAUACUGACGCUGAAGCGCGAAAGCGUGGGUAGCAAACAGG
This 735-nucleotide ribosomal RNA is filed under the name uncultured Fusobacterium sp. Its description in RNAcentral is "bacterial SSU rRNA". It matches the Rfam family "Bacterial small subunit ribosomal RNA", at positions 28 to 776 of the family's 1533-position model. Lineage: Bacteria; Fusobacteriati; Fusobacteriota; Fusobacteriia; Fusobacteriales; Fusobacteriaceae. The record is from RNAcentral.